This 433-nucleotide ribosomal RNA is filed under the name uncultured bacterium. Its description in RNAcentral is "partial 16S ribosomal RNA". It matches the Rfam family "Bacterial small subunit ribosomal RNA", at positions 29 to 507 of the family's 1533-position model. The record is from RNAcentral.
AACGAACGCUGGCGGCAUGCCUAACACAUGCAAGUCGAACGAGACCUUCGGGUCUAGUGGCGCACGGGUGCGUAACGCGUGGGAACCUGCCCUUAGGUUAGGAAUAACUCCCCGAAAGGGGUGCUAAUACCGGAUAAUGUCUUCGGACCAAAGAUUUAUCGCCUUUGGAUGGGCCCGCGUUGGAUUAGCUAGUUGGUAGGGUAAAAGCCUACCAAGGCGACGAUCCAUAGCUGGUCUGAGAGGAUGAUCAGCCACAAUGGGACUGAGACACGGCCCAGACUCCUACGGGAGGCAGCAGUGGGGAAUAUUGGACAAUGGGCGAAAGCCUGAUCCAGCAAUGCCGGGUGAGUGAUGAAGGCCUUAGGGUUGUAAAGCCCUUUUACCCGGGAUGAUAAUGACGGUACCGGGAGAAUAAGCACCGGCUAACUCCGUG